RNAcentral lists this ribosomal RNA (490 nucleotides) under uncultured bacterium. RNAcentral's name for it is "partial 16S ribosomal RNA". It matches the Rfam family "Bacterial small subunit ribosomal RNA", at positions 30 to 507 of the family's 1533-position model. The record is from RNAcentral.
AUUGAACGCUGGCGGCAGGCCUAACACAUGCAAGUCGAACGGUAACAGGAAACAGCUUGCUGUUUCGCUGACGAGUGGCGGACGGGUGAGUAAUGUCUGUGAAACUGCCUGAUGGAGGGGGAUAACUACUGGAAACGGUAGCUAAUACCGCAUAACGUCGCAAGACCAAAGAGGGGGACCUUCGGGCCUCUUGCCAUCGGAUGUGCCCAGAUGGGAUUAGCUAGUAGGUGGGGUAACGGCCCACCUAGGCGACGAUCCCUAGCUGGUCUGAGAGGAUGACCAGGCAAAAUGGAACUGAGAAACGGUCCAGACUCCUACGGGAGGCAGCAGUGGGGAAUAUUGGACAAUGGGCGCAAGCCUGAUGGAGCCAUGCCGGGUGGGUGAAGAAGGCCUUCGGGUUGUAAAGGUCUUUUCGCCGGGAAGAAAGGGGUUAAGUUAAUACCCUUGCCUCAUGACGGUACCCGGAGAAGAAGCACCGGCUAACUCCGUG